UACCAGCACCCCGAGUGGUCGGGACGAUUAUUGGGCCUAAAGCAUCCGUAGCCGGUUUUACAAGUCCUCCGUUAAAUCCAACUGCUUAACAGAUGGGCCGCGGAGGAUACUAUAAGACUAGGAGGCAGGAGAGGCAAGCGGUACUCAGUGGGUAGGGGUAAAAUCCGUUGAUCCAUUGAAGACCACCAGUGGCGAAGGCGGCUUGCCAAUACGCGCUCGACGGUGAGGGAUGAAAGCUGGGGGAGCAAACCGG
RNAcentral lists this ribosomal RNA (253 nucleotides) under uncultured bacterium. RNAcentral's name for it is "partial 16S ribosomal RNA". It matches the Rfam family "Archaeal small subunit ribosomal RNA", at positions 474 to 727 of the family's 1478-position model. The record is from RNAcentral.